GCGACCAUAGCGUUAUGGACCCACCUGAUCCCAUGCCGAACUCAGAAGUGAAACGUAAUAGCGCCGAUGGUAGUGUGGGGCUUCCCCAUGUGAGAGUAGGACAUCGCCAGGC
This 112-nucleotide ribosomal RNA is filed under the name Aliivibrio fischeri. Lineage: Bacteria; Pseudomonadati; Pseudomonadota; Gammaproteobacteria; Vibrionales; Vibrionaceae. The record is from RNAcentral.